GAUGAACGCUAGCUACAGGCUUAACACAUGCAAGUCGAGGGGCAGCAUGAACUUAGCUUGCUAAGUUUGAUGGCGACCGGCGCACGGGUGAGUAACGCGUAUCCAACCUGCCCUUGUCCAUCGGAUAACCCGUCGAAAGGCGGACUAACACGGUAUGCAGUCCACAGCAGGCAUCUAACGUGGACGAAAUGUGAAGGAGAAGGAUGGGGAUGCGUCUGAUUAGCUUGUUGGCGGGGUAACGGCCCACCAAGGCGACGAUCAGUAGGGGUUCUGAGAGGAAGGUCCCCGACAUUGGAACUGAGACACGGUCCAAACGCCUACGGGAGGCAGCAGUGAGGAAUAUUGGUCAAUGGACGGAAGUCUGAACCAGCCAAGUAGCGUGCAGGAUGACGGCCCUAUGGGUUGUAAACUGCUUUUAUAUGGGGAUAAAGUGAGUCACGUGUGGCUUAUUGCAGGUACCAUAUGAAUAAGGACCGGCUAAUUCCGUGCCAGCCGCCGCAGUAA
RNAcentral lists this ribosomal RNA (504 nucleotides) under uncultured bacterium. RNAcentral's name for it is "partial 16S ribosomal RNA". It matches the Rfam family "Bacterial small subunit ribosomal RNA", at positions 28 to 523 of the family's 1533-position model. The record is from RNAcentral.